UGACCUCGGAUCAGGUAGGGAUACCCGCUGAACUUAAGCAUAUCAAUAAGCGGAGGAAAAGAAACCAACAGGGAUUGCCUCAGUAACGGCGAGUGAAGCGGCAAGAGCUCAAAUUUGAAAGCUGGGCCUUUCAGGUCCCGCAUUGUAAUUUGCAGAGGAUGCUUCGGGAGUGGUCCCCAUCUAAGUGCUCUGGAACGGGCCGUCAUAGAGGGUGAGAAUCCCGUAUGGGAUGGGGUGUCCACGCCCGUGUGAAGCUCCUUCGACGAGUCGAGUUGUUUGGGAAUGCAGCUCUAAAUGGGUGGUAAAUUUCAUCUAAAGCUAAAUAUUGACCGGAGACCGAUAGCGCACAAGUAGAGUGAUCGAAAGAUGAAAAGCACUUUGAAAAGAGAGUUAAAAAGCACGUGAAAUUGUUGAAAGGGAAGCGCUUGCGACCAGACUCGCCUCUAGGGUUCAGCGUGCAUUCGUGCACGUGUACUUCCCUUGGGGCGGGCCAGCGUCGGUUUGGGCGGCCGGUAAAAGGCUCUCGGAAUGUAACGCCUCUCGGGGCGUCUUAUAGCCGGGGGUGCCAUGCGGCCAGCUCAGACCGAGGAACGCGCUUCGGCUCGGACGCUGGCAUAAUGGUCGUAAACGACC
RNAcentral lists this ribosomal RNA (633 nucleotides) under Thysanophora penicillioides. RNAcentral's name for it is "eukaryotic LSU rRNA". It matches the Rfam family "Eukaryotic large subunit ribosomal RNA", at positions 1 to 649 of the family's 3401-position model. The record is from RNAcentral. Lineage: Eukaryota; Fungi; Ascomycota; Eurotiomycetes; Eurotiales; Aspergillaceae.